UCUACGGGAGGCAGCAGUGGGGAAUAUUGGGCAAUGGGCGCAAGCCUGACCCAGCAACGCCGCGUGAAGGAAGAAGGCUUUCGGGUUGUAAACUUCUUUUGACAGGGAAGAGUAGAAGACGGUACCUGUCGAAUAAGCCACGGCUAACUACGUGCCAGCAGCCGCGGUAAUACGUAGGUGGCAAGCGUUGUCCGGAUUUACUGGGUGUAAAGGGCGUGUAGCCGGGUUGACAAGUCAGAUGUGAAAUCCUGCGGCUUAACCGCAGAACUGCAUUUGAAACUGUUGAUCUUGAGUACUGGAGAGGCAGACGGAAUUCCUAGUGUAGCGGUGAAAUGCGUAGAUAUCACGAAGAACUCCGAUUGCGAAGGCAGCAUACCGGCUCCAUACUGACGCUGAGGCACGAAAGCGUGGGGAUCGAACAGGAUUAGAUACCCCUGUAGUC
Molecule: ribosomal RNA, 442 nt
Filed under: uncultured bacterium
Lineage: Bacteria
Description: partial 16S ribosomal RNA
Rfam family: Bacterial small subunit ribosomal RNA
Source: RNAcentral